GCCCUUGUAGCUUAGUUGGUUACAUCACUCGCUUAGUAAGUGGAUGUCUUGAGUUCGACUCUCAAUAAGAGCA
RNAcentral lists this transfer RNA (73 nucleotides) under Nicotiana tabacum (common tobacco). It matches the Rfam family "tRNA". Rfam says of the family: Transfer RNA (tRNA) molecules are approximately 80 nucleotides in length. Their secondary structure includes four short double-helical elements and three loops (D, anti-codon, and T loops). Further hydrogen bonds mediate the characteristic L-shaped molecular structure. tRNAs have two regions of fundamental functional importance: the anti-codon, which is responsible for specific mRNA codon recognition, and the 3' end, to which the tRNAs corresponding amino acid is attached (by aminoacyl-tRNA synthetases). tRNAs cope with the degeneracy of the genetic code in two manners: having more than one tRNA (with a specific anti-codon) for a particular amino acid; and 'wobble' base-pairing, i.e. permitting non-standard base-pairing at the 3rd anti-codon position. The record is from Rfam by way of RNAcentral. Lineage: Eukaryota; Viridiplantae; Streptophyta; Magnoliopsida; Solanales; Solanaceae.